GAUGAAGAACGCAGCGAAAUGCGAUAAGUAAUGCGAAUUGCAGAAUUUCCGUGAGUCAUCGAAUCUUUGAACGCACAUUGCGCCCUUUGGUAUUCCUUAGGGCAUGCCUGUUCGAGCGUCAUUUCAACCUUCAAGCACAGCUUGGUGAUGGGUGAUUGCCCCGCCCCCGGGCGCGGGCUCGCCUCAAAAGCAUUGGCAGCCGGUACGUUGGCUUCGAGCGCAGCACAUUCGCGUCUCGUGCCUGGCGGACCGCCUCUCCAGCAAGCGAAAACUCAAUUUUGACCUCGGAUCAGGUAGGGAUACCCGCUGAACUUAAGCAUAUCAAUAAGCGGAGGA
Molecule: unclassified non-coding RNA, 336 nt
Filed under: soil metagenome
Description: partial contains 5.8S ribosomal RNA, internal transcribed spacer 2, and large subunit ribosomal RNA
Rfam family: 5.8S ribosomal RNA (bases 1-121)
Source: RNAcentral